UGAACGCUGGCGGCGUGCCUACUACAUGCAAGUCGAACGGGGAGUAGCAAUACUCUUAGUGGCGAACGGGUGAGUAACGCGUUGGUACCUGCCCCGAAGCGGGGGAUAACGGACCGAAAGGUCCGCUAAUACCCCAUGUGCUCGGUAACGAGUAAAGGUGAAAACCACUUUGGGAGGGGCCUGCGUCCCAUCAGCUAGUUGGUAAGGUAACGGCUUACCAAGGCGAUGACGGGUAGGGGACCUGAGAGGGUGGCCCCCCACAAUGGAACUGAAACACGGUCCAUACACCUACGGGUGGCAGCAGUAGGGAAUAUUGGUAAUGGGCGCAAGCCUGAACCAGCAACGCCGCGUGUGCGAUGACGGCCUUCGGGUUGUAAAGCACUUUUGACUGGGACGAGGAAGGACGGUACCGGUCGAAUCAGCCUCGGCUAACUACGUG
RNAcentral lists this ribosomal RNA (439 nucleotides) under uncultured bacterium. RNAcentral describes it as "partial 16S ribosomal RNA". It matches the Rfam family "Bacterial small subunit ribosomal RNA", at positions 30 to 507 of the family's 1533-position model. The record is from RNAcentral.